AUUGAACGCUGGCGGCAUGCUUUACACAUGCAAGUCGAACGGCAGCGGGGUAGUGCUUGCACUACUGCCGGCGAGUGGCGAACGGGUGAGUAAUAUAUCGGAACGUACCGAGUAAUGGGGGAUAACCAAUCGAAAGAUUGGCUAAUACCGCAUACGUCCUAAGGGAGAAAGCGGGGGAUCGCAAGACCUCGCGUUAUUCGAGCGGCCGAUAACUGAUUAGCUAGUUGGUGGGGUAAAGGCCUACCAAGGCGACGAUCAGUAGCGGGUCUGAGAGGACGAUCCGCCACACUGGGACUGAGACACGGCCCAGACUCCUACGGGAGGCAGCAGUGGGGAAUUUUGGACAAUGGGGGCAACCCUGAUCCAGCCAUGCCGCGUGUAUGAAGAAGGCCUUCGGGUUGUAAAGUACUUUUGUUAGGGAAGAAAAGGGAAGUGCUAAUACCACUUUUUGCUGACGGUACCUAAAGAAUAAGCACCGGCUAACUACGUGCCAGCAGCCGCGGUAAUACGUAGGGUGCGAGCGUUAAUCGGAAUUACUGGGCGUAAAGCGAGCGCAGACGGUUACUUAAGCAGGAUGUGAAAUCCCCGGGCUUAACCUGGGAACUGCGUUCUGAACUGGGUAGCUAGAGUAUGUCAGAGGGGGGUAGAAUUCCACGUGUAGCAGUGAAAUGCGUAGAGAUGUGGAGGAAUACCGAUGGCGAAGGCAGCCCCCUGGGGAUGAUACUGGCGUUCAUGCUCGAAAGCGUGGGUAGCAAACAGG
RNAcentral lists this ribosomal RNA (760 nucleotides) under uncultured Eikenella sp. Its description in RNAcentral is "bacterial SSU rRNA". It matches the Rfam family "Bacterial small subunit ribosomal RNA", at positions 28 to 776 of the family's 1533-position model. Lineage: Bacteria; Pseudomonadati; Pseudomonadota; Betaproteobacteria; Neisseriales; Neisseriaceae. The record is from RNAcentral.